CAGUAGCCGCGGUAAUACGUAGGGUGCGAGCGUUAAUCGGAAUUACUGGGCGUAAAGCGUGCGCAGGCGGUUUUGUAAGACAGGCGUGAAAUCCCCGGGCUCAACCUGGGAAUGGCGCUUGUGACUGCAAAGCUAGAGUGCGGCAGAGGGGGAUGGAAUUCCGCGUGUAGCAGUGAAAUGCGUAGAUAUGCGGAGGAACACCGAUGGCGAAGGCAAUCCCCUGGGCCUGCACUGACGCUCAUGCGCGAAAGCGUGGGGAGCAAACAGGAUUAGAUACCCCUGUAGUCCCUGUCUCUUAUAC
This 301-nucleotide ribosomal RNA is filed under the name uncultured bacterium. RNAcentral's name for it is "partial 16S ribosomal RNA". It matches the Rfam family "Bacterial small subunit ribosomal RNA", at positions 509 to 807 of the family's 1533-position model. The record is from RNAcentral.